AGCAUGUGGUAAAGAGGAUAGGAUUAAAAUUUUGUCCGAACCUCAUAUUGUAACCAAUUCCAACUAUCAACAGGAAAGAAACAGUAAAUAUUUACUCUUAUCUAAACAUUAAAAGAAGGCAGAACUAACAAGAAAGCACAAAGGAGAUUUUAAGCAUAAAGUGUGAUUACCAAAUCCCCAAUUCCCGUGAGAGAUAGUUGAUACAUAUCUGUAUAUAAACAAAAAGGUUCAAACGCAGUUCAAAAUCCGUGCUAUUGUAUGCUUGCUCUUUGAGCUAAAGAUAAUUUUUGCUCAUGACAAGCAAGUCUAAGGCGAUCUUCAAUUUGCUCCUUCACGGAAGCUCAUAAGUUGGAACCAAGCUUACAAGAUCUGGUAAAUGAUACAGUGACAGCUUUAGUAAAAUGUGAAAUGUUAGGCAUAAAAGUUGCAGCAGUAUUGUAGUCACAUACUUAACCAUAAGCAAGGAACAAACUUCCUUGCAGAGUUAGUCGAUCUAUGUGCAGCUCAUAAGAGCAAAAUUGUUCCAAGGAAAAAAAAAAAGCACUGUGAAAACAAGAAACUAUUAUUGCAUUUCCAAAAAUCUAAACAAUUGAAGCAUGUUUUACAGCAAGAUAAAGCAUCAUUCUCCUUGUCUACAAGUAUGAUCUUUUUCUCUGCAAUGUGAGUAGGGAAGGCCUGCAACUGUGUUUAGUCCCUUCAAUAUAUCAUAUUUGCAAUAGUUGCACAAAGGCAAUCAAGAGCCUGAAUCUCACACUGCAAAUCCCAUCCCCAAAAUUUUUCUUUUGCCCAGGAAAUUACAUUUGAAAGUUUCUUAUCCUCUAAUCAUGACUAUAUUAAAUUCCAAUUCAACACAUCAUCUUUUAGCUACUAAUUAGAAUCCACCACAGAAAAAGAGGAAGUAACAAAACCUCCAGAAAAUUAAUGUAAAAUUCCUCUAUUUCAAUAACAUUCUUUUCCAAAUUUCCCAAAAAAAUUUUGAGAAAAAACCAUAGAAAAUCUCUCCAUGCAACCUGGAUAAGCAAGUAAGAGGAAACCUGCUGUCCUAAAUCCUUUGACUUCUUUCUUAAAUCCAAACAAUAUCAAAAGUUCAUCAUCUUUUCUCUUCUAAGCUAACUACUAGCUAAAAGCUAAAAAUAAUAUGCAAACCUAGUUGGUUCAAUGAUUUUUUUUUUUCCAAAUUUGCAAUAGCUUGAACUGAAUAUAUCAUAUUUCUUCAACAAUACAGAGGGUAUAUCAUUAUAAAGCAGGGCAGUCAUAAAAUAUACAAUAGCAUAUGGAUAUUGCUAUGUACUUUCCAAUCUUGCUAGCACAGAUGCUUUCCUCAAUGCAAAGGCCAUGUUUUUUCUACUUUUGUUUUUUUUUCAGAUAUGAAAGCUCUCAGCUUAUAGAAUGUCCAUGCUUUUUCAACUCUUAAUACCAUAAGAAACAGAAGAGGAAAAGAGAAUGCAGAGCUAUCCUAAGUGAUAGCUUAUCAUUGUUGAAGUUCAAUGAUCAACUAACUUCAAAAACUCCAGCAACAUUAUAACAACAGAAAAGUCAAAAUGUGCCUAAUAAAUCCGAAAUUGCUGUAAUUUAAAACAAUUAUAAAGCUGCAACUGAGCUCAUGUUGGUACUGAACUUGACUAGUAUAAGUUCACUUAAUUUUCAUCGAUGGGAAAUUGCAUUAGAAGUAUAGUAGUCGACUCUAAUGAAAUCAUAUGACCCUUUAACUAAUUGUUCUACUCAUGCAUGAAUCUUGGAAGCACAGCUCUCACAAAAGCCGCAAUGAUGAACUGAUAGUCACCAAUAAUUUUGCAAUCCUAUUAUUUAUAUUAAAAAAUAGAGUGAAUUUAAUAAUGGAAAAAUCAUACAAUUACACCACACCUUCCUUUGAAUUUUAAGCUUUAUCAACAUACCAAAGUAAAGUUGGGAAAUUAGUAAAAUAAUGCUUGAAAAGGCUUAGUAUUCAAUGCCAAGGGGGAGGAUUGGUACCAUGGCUACAACCCAGUUGCAUGCAAGUGAGGGAAACUAUUACAUUUGUUCCAAUCUCAGAUCUGCCUUCCGAGUUGCCCUGCCAUGAAAUGGGUCCACAACCUCCAUGCCUCAUUCGUAAACCACAACAAAAAUAACACCAUAGCCUACAUUAUGAAUUUUGCUAUAACAGAUUCCAUGAGAGUCGGUUUGGAUAUAGAAUUUUUGUUGGAUUUGGAGGGUGAAAGGGAAGAGGAAAAUUUCUCAAAGGAAUAAACUCAUUAAGAGGACAGAAGGACAGAAAGGAUGGUGAAAGCAAGGGGCGGGCGCACAGAGAGGAUAACGGAGAAUGCAAAGAAGUUACUCGGUGAGUCCAGAGAAAUGAGAAUUAGGCAGCUGCUGC
This 2353-nucleotide long non-coding RNA is filed under the name Coffea arabica (coffee). Its description in RNAcentral is "long non-coding RNA (CARA_LNC000697)". The record is from RNAcentral. Lineage: Eukaryota; Viridiplantae; Streptophyta; Magnoliopsida; Gentianales; Rubiaceae.